RNAcentral lists this transfer RNA (75 nucleotides) under Neotoma lepida (desert woodrat). It matches the Rfam family "tRNA". Rfam says of the family: Transfer RNA (tRNA) molecules are approximately 80 nucleotides in length. Lineage: Eukaryota; Metazoa; Chordata; Mammalia; Rodentia; Cricetidae. The record is from Rfam by way of RNAcentral.
GGGGAGGUAGUUCAGUGGGUGAGAGCACUUGCUUGGCAAGCAUAAAGACCUGAGUUCAAAUCCCUAGCAUCCACA